RNAcentral lists this ribosomal RNA (520 nucleotides) under uncultured Glomus. RNAcentral's name for it is "SSU rRNA". It matches the Rfam family "Eukaryotic small subunit ribosomal RNA", at positions 569 to 1088 of the family's 1831-position model. The record is from RNAcentral. Lineage: Eukaryota; Fungi; Glomeromycota; Glomeromycetes; Glomerales; Glomeraceae.
AGCAGCCGCGGUAAUUCCAGCUCCAAUAGCGUAUAUUAAAGUUGUUGCAGUUAAAAAGCUCGUAGUUGAAUUUCGGGGUCAGUAGGUCGGUCGUGCCACUGGUAUGAACUGGUUUUACUGAUUCCUCCCUCUUGAAGAACUGUAAUGCCAUUAAUUUGGUGUUGCAGGGAAUCAGGACUGUUACUUUGAAAAAAUUGAGUGUUUAAAGCAGGCUUUAGCUUGAAUACAUUAGCAUGGAAUAAUGAAAUAGGACGUUUGAUCCUAUUUUGUUGGUUUCUAGGAUUGACGUAAUGAUUAAUAGGGAUAGUUGGGGGCAUUAGUAUUCAAUUGUCAGAGGUGAAAUUCUUAGGAUUUUAUUGAAGACUAACUACUGCGAAGGCAUUUGCCAAGGAUGUUUCAUUCAUCAAGACGAAAGUUAGGGAUCGAAGACGAUCAGAUACCGUCGUAGUCUUAACCAUAAACUNUGACCGACGUAGGGAUCGGGAUGAUGUUAAUUUUUAANGUACUNAGUUCGGCGCCG